GUUGAAGUGGCUGAUUUAAGGCGAUAGAUUGUAAAUCUAUUUAUAGGAUUAUUUCCUCUUCAUCA
This 65-nucleotide transfer RNA is filed under the name Colemania sphenarioides. Its description in RNAcentral is "tRNA-Tyr". It matches the Rfam family "tRNA". From Rfam's summary of the family: Transfer RNA (tRNA) molecules are approximately 80 nucleotides in length. Their secondary structure includes four short double-helical elements and three loops (D, anti-codon, and T loops). Further hydrogen bonds mediate the characteristic L-shaped molecular structure. tRNAs have two regions of fundamental functional importance: the anti-codon, which is responsible for specific mRNA codon recognition, and the 3' end, to which the tRNAs corresponding amino acid is attached (by aminoacyl-tRNA synthetases). tRNAs cope with the degeneracy of the genetic code in two manners: having more than one tRNA (with a specific anti-codon) for a particular amino acid; and 'wobble' base-pairing, i.e. permitting non-standard base-pairing at the 3rd anti-codon position. Lineage: Eukaryota; Metazoa; Arthropoda; Insecta; Orthoptera; Pyrgomorphidae. The record is from RNAcentral.